This 1096-nucleotide ribosomal RNA is filed under the name Periclimenes brevicarpalis. Its description in RNAcentral is "eukaryotic LSU rRNA". It matches the Rfam family "Eukaryotic large subunit ribosomal RNA", at positions 341 to 1124 of the family's 3401-position model. Lineage: Eukaryota; Metazoa; Arthropoda; Malacostraca; Decapoda; Palaemonidae. The record is from RNAcentral.
UUCACAAGUACCGUGAGGGAAAGCUGAAAAGGACUCUGAAGAGAGAGUUCAAGAGGACGUGAAACCAUUAGAAGCUCAAACGGGUGGAACUGUGAUGGUCGAAAGAGGGGAUUCAGCCGGCCGGGUGUGUCUCUGGCGGCGGGUGCGGUACAGGCUUUUGUGUGAGAAAGGACCCGGCGUGAAAGUGAGUUGCCGUGGCCCCGCGCCUGCCGACCAGAGCCCUGUCGGCUUACUUCUCCCUCGAGUAGCGAUCGUCGCGACCCGCUGGGCGGGCCCCGAGGGCCGCGCCGGACUGGUAGCCUGCAACUCGUUGGAGGCGAUGACCGGCCGCGGUGCUGACUGGGCCUGCCCGGCGGUCACUGCAGGGAGGCCCUAACCGGCCUCUCGCGACGUGGAAGGGAUCGGUAAUCCACCCGACCCGUCUUGAAACACGGACCAAGGAGUCCAACAUGUGCGCGAGUCUAAGGAUGACCUAAAUCCGAAGGCGAAAUGAAAGUGAGCCCCUUUGGCGGGCAGGCCGAUCCCCUUGUCGGCCGGGGUCCGGAGGCCCGGCGGCGUGAGUGAGUUUCCGCCGUCGUCUGGCAGCCGGUGCCCCGGUCUCGGCGGCCGGCCGUGCUUGUCGCGGUCGGAGAUGGGGCGCAGGCCGAGGACUUGCCACAGUGCGGCGCGGGCGACGGGGCCUCUUCCGACCUCUUCACGGGGGUUCUGGCGGGGGUCCUUACCCCGAAGUCCGUCGGCAAGUACCUGAGAGCGCAGCCGUUGGGACCCGAAAGAUGGUGAACUAUGCCUGGCGAGGACGAAGCCAGAGGAAACUCUGGUGGAGGUCCGAAGCAGUUCUGACGUGCAAAUCGAUUGUCAGAGCUGGGUAUAGGGGCGAAAGACUAAUCGAACCAUCUAGUAGCUGGUUCCCUCCGAAGUUUCCCUCAGGAUAGCUGGCAUUCGGAGGUAAAAUGAGUUUCAUCCGGUAAAGCGAAUGAUUAGAGGCCUUGGUGGUGCAAUGCCGUCAACCUAUUCUCAAACUUUAAAUGGGUGAGAUGUGGAGCUUGCUUGAGCAGCUCUGUUGUGAAGCUCUAUAAUGCAAAGAAUCAGAAUGCCU